CAGCCAUAUCAUGUUGAAAAACUGGUUCUCAUAUGAUCACCAAAGUUAAGCAACAUUGAGCCUGGUCAGUACCUAGAUAGGUGACUGCUUGGGAAUAGCAGGUGAUGUAAG
Molecule: non-coding RNA, 111 nt
Organism: Acanthosepion pharaonis
Lineage: Eukaryota; Metazoa; Mollusca; Cephalopoda; Sepiida; Sepiidae
Source: the annotation of a GenBank genome assembly